AUGUGGAUGAUGAUCUGGGGAGCACCGUCUAGCGAAAAGGAAAAAGGAGAACUACAAUCUUGGCUAGGUUCAUCCUCUUUGACACAGUUGUGGCUCCACCUUUGGAUGUUGUUGGAUUCUUUUCUGAAGUUCGAACAAGUUUUGAAGGAUUCAUGGAUGGUUCUGAAAAUGAAAUUUCUCUUAACCAUGGUAGCCAAAACUGGAGGGAUUCUUGCCUAUUUCAUUCAUCCAUCCAUCCAUCAAAACUUACGUGAUUUAUUUGCGCGAACACAUGAUUUACAUUUCAUGAAGGCAACCUAUGUGUGCCUUGUUGAAAUAUCUAAGCUUGGUUUCCACAUGGCCAGUUUUAGCAAGGCCAGGCCAUGGCAGUAG
RNAcentral lists this ribosomal RNA (372 nucleotides) under Triticum aestivum (bread wheat). RNAcentral's name for it is "partial small subunit ribosomal RNA". The record is from RNAcentral. Lineage: Eukaryota; Viridiplantae; Streptophyta; Magnoliopsida; Poales; Poaceae.